UCAUUUCAUUGGUCGUUACCGACACUGUCAGCCAAUCAGAAAGGUAGAGGGGCGGGAUGUAAGGAAACCCCGUAGAGUGAGGUCACAGGAUAGCGUGAGGCAGCUAACAGAGCAGCUACACGUUAGCUGUAAAAGCUGCCUGAGAGGAACUUAAUUCUGCCCAUUAAGAGUUUAAUCCAGCGGCUAACGGACAUGUUGGAACCUGCAGAAGAUGCACCAAGGAUCCAGCUGAUUACUGGCAGUUUGGAGGAGGAUUGUUCUUCAUCUGUCACUUCUGGCACAGAUUCACUCACCUGUUGCGAAGUAUACGGGGCCCCCAGGGGCCAGGAGAAGACCGAAGCUAAAGAACAACAACGGCACAAUGUGUUGCUUUCUCCAGCUGUUUCACAGGUGAAGUCAUGACCUCAUGGUCACAGUAACCCGAACAGCUAAAGAACCGACACAGAAGAAGGAUAAGGAGGAGCAACCGGGAGUUUUCCUCCUCUGUUUGUCUCGGGAAGCUAGUGAACUGCAGGAUGCUAAUGUUGCUAACUGUGUGUGCAGCGCUACACUUGCCUGUAAUUGUAUCAAGAGUUCAGGGCUGUUCACGGCCGGGCGCCGUAGAAAUUGAUUUCUGACAGUGAUACAAAGUUUUAAUUAGCACCUGAAAUAGUCAGCUGAUAUUUAAAGUGACCGAAGCGCAGCUGCAUUUAUGUUCACUUGCUUUGUUUUAAGGAGUAGCUGAGUGAAUUACACAGCAUUGCUAUUGAAGGGAAGCUUAUAAAAAAUACUAUGGUUUUAUUUGAAUGUUGUGUGUGGAAAUGUUAAACCUUAAUGUGUAAAUUCUGCUGUGGGUAGAUAAAACAUUGUGUUUUCUGAUAAGGCUACUCUAAUUAGAGUAUUGCAUUGCAGCUACAGUUAUGUGGAGCCUGUACGGCCGACAGGUUUCCUAAUACAGGGAGAAGAGUAGCUUGAUGUAAUUUCUGUUGAGUUAGUAUCAGCUGUUAUUGAAUAAGGUUGAACAUGUUAUAUGCUG
This is a long non-coding RNA of Micropterus dolomieu (smallmouth bass), 1015 nucleotides long. RefSeq lists it as uncharacterized. The transcript has 4 exons. The record is from RefSeq and is a predicted model, not a curated record. NCBI's taxonomy places the organism in Eukaryota, Metazoa, Chordata, Actinopteri, Centrarchiformes, Centrarchidae.